Molecule: ribosomal RNA, 253 nt
Filed under: uncultured bacterium
Lineage: Bacteria
Description: partial 16S ribosomal RNA
Rfam family: Bacterial small subunit ribosomal RNA
Source: RNAcentral
UACGGGGGGGGCAAGCGUUGUUCGGAAUUACUGGGCGUAAAGGGCUCGUAGGUGGCCAACUAAGUCAGACGUGAAAUCCCUCAGCUUAACUGGGGAACUGCGUCUGAUACUGGAUGGCUUGAGUUUGGGAGAGGGAUGCGGAAUUCCAGGUGUAGCGGUGAAAUGCGUAGAUAUCUGGAGGAACACCGGUGGCGAAGGCGGCAUCCUGGACCGAAAUUGACGCUGAGGCGCGAAAGCCAGGGGAGCAAACGGG